This 28-nucleotide non-coding RNA is filed under the name Mus musculus (house mouse). The record is from RNAcentral. Lineage: Eukaryota; Metazoa; Chordata; Mammalia; Rodentia; Muridae.
UCCUGGUGGUUUGCCGUACCAUGUGAUA